GAUGAACGCUGGCGGCGUGCCUAAUACAUGCAAGUCGAGCGAACGGACGAGAAGCUUGCUUCUCUGAUGUUAGCGGCGGACGGGUGAGUAACACGUGGAUAACCUACCUAUAAGACUGGGAUAAUUUCGGGAAACCGGAGCUAAUACCGGAUAAUAUUUUGAACCGCAUGGUUCAAAAGUGAAAGACGGUCUUGCUGUCACUUAUAGAUGGAUCCGCGCUGCAUUAGCUAGUUGGUAAGGUAACGGCUUACCAAGGCAACGAUGCAUAGCCGACCUGAGAGGGUGAUCGGCCACACGGGAACUGAGACACGGUCCAGACUCCUACGGGAGGCAGCAGUAGGGAAUCUGCCGCAAUGGGCGAAAGCCUGACGGAGCAACGCCGCGUGAGUGAUGAAGGUCUUCGGAUCGUAAAACUCUGUUAUUAGGGAAGAACAUAUGUGUAAGUAACUGUGCACAUCUUGACGGUACCUAAUCAGAAAGCCACGGCUAACUACGUG
RNAcentral lists this ribosomal RNA (497 nucleotides) under uncultured bacterium. Its description in RNAcentral is "partial 16S ribosomal RNA". It matches the Rfam family "Bacterial small subunit ribosomal RNA", at positions 28 to 507 of the family's 1533-position model. The record is from RNAcentral.